This 74-nucleotide transfer RNA is filed under the name Candidatus Moranbacteria bacterium CG_4_9_14_3_um_filter_36_9. Its description in RNAcentral is "tRNA-Arg". It matches the Rfam family "tRNA". From Rfam's summary of the family: Transfer RNA (tRNA) molecules are approximately 80 nucleotides in length. Their secondary structure includes four short double-helical elements and three loops (D, anti-codon, and T loops). Further hydrogen bonds mediate the characteristic L-shaped molecular structure. tRNAs have two regions of fundamental functional importance: the anti-codon, which is responsible for specific mRNA codon recognition, and the 3' end, to which the tRNAs corresponding amino acid is attached (by aminoacyl-tRNA synthetases). tRNAs cope with the degeneracy of the genetic code in two manners: having more than one tRNA (with a specific anti-codon) for a particular amino acid; and 'wobble' base-pairing, i.e. permitting non-standard base-pairing at the 3rd anti-codon position. The record is from RNAcentral. Lineage: Bacteria; Candidatus Moraniibacteriota.
GCGCUUGUAGCUCAAUUGGAUAGAGUACUUGGCUUCGAACCAAGGGGUUGCAGGUUCAAGUCCUGCCAAGCGCA